AGGAGGUCUGCCAGCUAAUCUGGAUCGUGAUGAACAACGGGACCCAGCUGUGGUGGAGAAAACAUCUCCACAUUGACCUCCUGAACCCAGAGGGCUCGGUGGCUGUUUCCACUAUUGAACUGGAGGUCACAGGGGUUCAGGUCAGUCAAGCACCUAAUGUUCACAAGCCGACAAACGCAACUUCAGGGUUUUCAGCUUUACACUCAGACUGUGUGUCAGUUAGUUAUGAAUGAUGAGUUCUGUUUUGUCCUCCCUAGCUUCUAGGUGGUAGAAAGACAAGCCACGUCAUGUCCCACCAUAUAAAUACAUGGAAGGAGUUCAUGUACUUUGAGGAAGGCCAGGAGGUGGACGUGAUGACCACCUUUGAGGGUUUUGUCGAGGCAGGGGCUGAGACUCAGGCAACAAGUUGGUCAUGCUCCAACACCGAGUCCACCUUCACUGACCCUCCUCCUCGUUCUCCUCACGCCUCACCUCCUUCACC
Osmerus eperlanus (European smelt) is the source of this 481-nucleotide long non-coding RNA. RefSeq lists it as uncharacterized. Lineage: Eukaryota; Metazoa; Chordata; Actinopteri; Osmeriformes; Osmeridae. The transcript has 3 exons. The record is from RefSeq and is a predicted model, not a curated record.